CCUACGGGUGGCAGCAGUGGGGAAUAUUGCACAAUGGGCGCAAGCCUGAUGCAGCCAUGCCGCGUGUAUGAUGAAGGCCUUCGGGUUGUAAAGCACUUUCAGCGGGGAAGAAGGGUGUAAAGUUUAUACCUUUGCUCAUUGACGUUACCAGCAGAAGAAGCACCGGCUAACUCCGUGCCAGCAGCCGCGGUAAUACGGAGGGUGCGAGCGUUAAUCGGAAUUACUGGGCGUAAAGCGCGCGUAGGCGGUUUGUCAGGUCAGAGGUGAAAUCCCCGGGCUCAACCUGGGAACUGCAUUUGAUACUGGCAAGCUGGAGUGUCGGAGAGGGUGGUGGAAUUCCAGGUGUAGCGGUGAAAUGCGUAGAUAUCUGGAGGAACACCGGUGGCGAAGGCGGCCACCUGGACGACGACUGACGCUGAGGUGCGAAAGCGUGGGGAGCAAACAGGAUUAGAUACCCGAGUAGUC
This 465-nucleotide ribosomal RNA is filed under the name uncultured bacterium. RNAcentral describes it as "partial 16S ribosomal RNA". It matches the Rfam family "Bacterial small subunit ribosomal RNA", at positions 338 to 795 of the family's 1533-position model. The record is from RNAcentral.